CCCUGAAAAUGGAUGGCGCUCGAGGUCGAGCCUAUACCCNACCGUCGCAGCACUACGAGCACCCCGGNCGCCAUGCUGCNACGAGUAGGAGGGCCGCCGCGGUGGCAUCGAAGCCUGGAGCGCGAGCUUGGGUGGAGCC
Molecule: ribosomal RNA, 139 nt
Filed under: Helicina orbiculata
Lineage: Eukaryota; Metazoa; Mollusca; Gastropoda; Cycloneritida; Helicinidae
Description: partial 28S ribosomal RNA
Rfam family: Eukaryotic large subunit ribosomal RNA
Source: RNAcentral